RNAcentral lists this long non-coding RNA (523 nucleotides) under Ursus maritimus (polar bear). Its description in RNAcentral is "lncRNA (ENSUMAG00000005778.1)". Lineage: Eukaryota; Metazoa; Chordata; Mammalia; Carnivora; Ursidae. The record is from RNAcentral.
CACCCUGACGGAGGGGGACUUCCACCACCUGAAGAACGCCCGCCUCACGCACCUGCACCUGCCACCCCUCAAGAUCAUCACAAUCCAUGAGUGUGACCUGGGCGAAGCCAGCGCCACCACCCCCCUGCACGCUGCCACCGCCCCCAAGGCCAACCUCGCCAUAUUCCAGCCCCCGGGGAAGGCCCUCACCGGCCGCUCCGUGGGCCCCAGCUCCGCCCUGCCAGGUGACCCCUACAACUCAGCCGUGGGCCCUGCUGACUUCGAGAUCAGCCCCUUGGCAUCCAGCGACUCCGGGGAAGGCACCUGGUCGGAUGCAGGUACCGGGAGCACCAAGCCUGUUGGGCCAGGGGCCACGACAGGACCCGGGGAGGCAGGCCCAGGCUCUGGGGCAGGACCUGUCCUGCAGUUCUUUACCCGCUUGCGGCGCCAUGCCAGCCUGGACGGGGCCAGCCCCUACUUCAAGGUCAAGAAAUGGAAGCUGGACCCCAGCCAACGGGCAUCCAGUCUGGACACUAGAGGUGAG